UAGGUAAGGCGAGUGAAGGGGAAAAGCUCAAAUUUAAAAUCUGGCGGUCUUUGGCCGUCCGAGUUGUAGUCUGGAGAAGUGCUUCCGACGCUGGACCGUGUAUAAGUCUCUUGGAACAGAGCGUCAUAGAGGGUGAGAAUCCGUCUUUGACACGGACUACCAGUGCUUUGUGAUGCGCUCUCAAAGAGUCGAGUUGUUUGGGAAUGCAGCUCAAAAUGGGUGGUG
This 225-nucleotide ribosomal RNA is filed under the name Ganoderma lucidum. RNAcentral's name for it is "partial large subunit ribosomal RNA". It matches the Rfam family "Eukaryotic large subunit ribosomal RNA", at positions 81 to 301 of the family's 3401-position model. The record is from RNAcentral. Lineage: Eukaryota; Fungi; Basidiomycota; Agaricomycetes; Polyporales; Polyporaceae.